CAACUUGAGAGUUUGAUCCUGGCUCAGAACGAACGCUGGCGGCAUGCUUUAUACAUGCAAGUCGAACGGAAACUAUGUUCGCAUAGUUUUAGUGGCAAACGGGUGAGUAAUACAUGGGAAUCUGCCAUAUGGAGGGGGAUAGUUGUUGGAAACGACAGGUAAUACCGCAUAAUCUUCUUAGGAAGUAAAGGCUUCGGCCACCAUUUGAGGAGCCCAUGUCGGAUUAGAUAGUUGGUGAGGUAAUGGCUCACCAAGUCUGUGAUCCGUAGCUGGUCUUAGAGGAUGAUCAGCCACACUGGGAUUGAGAUACGGCCCAGACUCCUACGGGAGGCAGCAGUAGGGAAUAUUGGACAAUGGGGGAAACCCUGAUCCAGCAAUGCCGCGUGAAUGAUGAAGGUUUUAGAAUUGUAAAGUUCUUUUGCUCGCAAUGACGAUGACAGUAGCGAGAGAAGAAGCUCCGGCAAACUUCGUGCCAGCAGCCGCGGUAAUACGAAGGGAGCAAGCGUUGUUCGGAUUGACUGGGCGUAAAGGGUGCGUAGGCUGCUGAUUAAGUGAAAUGUGAAAGCCCUGGGCUUAACCUAGGAAGUGCAUUUUAUACUGGUCGGCUAGAGGACAGUAGAGGAAGUAGGAAUUUCUGAUGGAGAGGUGAAAUUCAUAGAUAUCAGAAGGAACACCAAAAGCGAAGGCAAGCUUCUGGGCUGUACCUGACGUUGAGGCACGAAAGCGUGGGUAGCAAACAGGAUUAGAUACCCUGGUAGUCCACGCCCUAAACGAUGAGUGCUAAAUGUUGGAGGUUAAAAUCUUCAGUGUUAAAGCUAACGCGUUAAGCACUCCGCCUGGGGAUUACGGUCGCAAGACUAAAACUCAAAGGAAUUGACGGGAACCCGCACAAGCGGCGGAGCAUGUGGUUUAAUUCGAUGUUCCGCGCAAACCUUACCAGCCUUUGAAUGCAAGUUUUAAAUUUGUGAAAGCAAAUUUUUCAGUUUAGCUGGGCUUGCACAGGUGCUGCAUGGCUGUCGUCAGCUCGUGUCGUGAGAUGUUGGGUUAAGUCCCGCAACGAGCGCAACCCUUGUCGUUAUUUGCCAAUAGACUUUGUCUAGGAACUUUAACGAGACUGCCGAUGUUAAGUCGGAGGAAGGUGGGGAUGACGUCAAGUCCUCAUGGCCUUUAUAGGCUGGGCUACACAUGUGCUACAAUGGCAACUACAAUGAGAUGCAAUAGGGUGACCUGGAGCAAAUCUAUAAAAGUUGUCUCAGUUCGGAUUACAGUCUGCAACUCGACUGUAUGAAGCCGGAGUCGCUAGUAAUCGUCAAUACAGUACGUGACGGUGAAUACGUUACGGGUUUUGUACACACUGCCCGUCAAGCCACGGGAGUUGAUUCUGCUUUAAAGUGGUUAUCUAACCGCAAGGAAGAAGCCAAAUAUGGCAGAAUUAGCAACUGGGGUUAAGUCGUAACAAGGUAGCCGUAGGAGAACCUGCGGCUGGAUCACCUCCUUUCUAGG
Molecule: ribosomal RNA, 1503 nt
Filed under: Candidatus Nesciobacter abundans
Lineage: Bacteria; Pseudomonadati; Pseudomonadota; Alphaproteobacteria; Holosporales; Holosporaceae
Description: bacterial SSU rRNA
Rfam family: Bacterial small subunit ribosomal RNA
Source: RNAcentral